CCCUUAGAUGUUCUGGGCUGCACGCGCGCUACACUGAUGCACUCAACGAGUUUACGACCUUGCUCGAUAGGGUUGGGUAAUCUUUUUAAAAUGCAUCGUGAUGGGGAUAGAUUAUUGCAAUUAUUAAUCUUCAACGAGGAAUUCCUAGUAAGCGCGAGUCAUCAGCUCGUGCUGAUUACGUCCCUGCCCUUUGUACACACCGCCCGUCGCUCCUACCGAUUGAGUGCUCAGGUGAAUAAUUCGGACUGCAGCAAUGUUUGGAUCCCGAACGUUGCAGCGGAAAGUUUAGUGAACCUUAUCACUUAGAGGAAGGAGAAGUCGUAACA
Molecule: ribosomal RNA, 326 nt
Filed under: uncultured eukaryote
Lineage: Eukaryota
Description: partial 18S ribosomal RNA
Rfam family: Eukaryotic small subunit ribosomal RNA
Source: RNAcentral